Molecule: ribosomal RNA, 340 nt
Filed under: Ensifer fredii
Lineage: Bacteria; Pseudomonadati; Pseudomonadota; Alphaproteobacteria; Hyphomicrobiales; Rhizobiaceae
Description: Sinorhizobium fredii partial 23S ribosomal RNA
Rfam family: Bacterial large subunit ribosomal RNA
Source: RNAcentral
AAGCUUCGAAGGCCAGAGGCCGUCGCCGGUUAUCCGGCGUCAAGAAACCAAAGUGGUUUCCAAGCAUUGUUGAAAGGUAUCUUAUCCUGAAUUUCAAUAGGGAUAAGAAGCGAACGCAGGGAACUGAAACAUCUAAGUACCUGCAGGAAAGGACAUCAACCGAGACUCCGCAAGUAGUGGCGAGCGAACGCGGACCACGCCACUGGCAAUGAGGAAUAAAGUGGAACGACUUGGAAAGGUCGGCCGUAGGCGGGUGAUAACCCCCCACACAAAAAAAACUCUUUGUCCUUCAAUAAGGGGGGACACAAAAAAUCCUGUCUGAGGGGGUGAACCCCCCACU